This 253-nucleotide ribosomal RNA is filed under the name uncultured bacterium. RNAcentral describes it as "partial 16S ribosomal RNA". It matches the Rfam family "Bacterial small subunit ribosomal RNA", at positions 524 to 776 of the family's 1533-position model. The record is from RNAcentral.
UACGUAGGGGGCUAGCGUUGUCCGGAAUCAUUGGGCGUAAAGCGCGUGUAGGCGGUUUGGUAAGUCCGCUGUGAAAGUCGGGGGCUCAACCCUCGAAUGCCGGUGGAUACUGUCGAACUAGAGUGCGGAAGAGGCGAGUGGAAUUCCUGGUGUAGCGGUGAAAUGCGCAGAUAUCAGGAGGAACACCAAUUGCGAAGGCAGCUCGCUGGGGCGUAACUGACGCUGAGACGCGAAAGCGUGGGGAGCAAACAGG